RNAcentral lists this transfer RNA (71 nucleotides) under Loxodonta africana (African savanna elephant). It matches the Rfam family "tRNA". From Rfam's summary of the family: Transfer RNA (tRNA) molecules are approximately 80 nucleotides in length. Lineage: Eukaryota; Metazoa; Chordata; Mammalia; Proboscidea; Elephantidae. The record is from Rfam by way of RNAcentral.
GCAUUGGUAUCUCAGUGGUAGAACUCUUGCCUUUCAUACAGAAGACCUGGGUUCUAUUCCCAGCCAGUGCA